Small nucleolar RNA from Neoarius graeffei (lesser salmon catfish), 69 nucleotides. RefSeq annotates it as small nucleolar RNA SNORD58. The transcript has a single exon. The record is from RefSeq and is a predicted model, not a curated record. Lineage: Eukaryota; Metazoa; Chordata; Actinopteri; Siluriformes; Ariidae.
UUGCAAUGAUGACUACCUUAGGACACCUUUGGAAUUCAGCAUGAAAACAGCUAUAAUAAUCUGAGCAAC